AUUGAACGCUGGCGGCAGGCUUAACACAUGCAAGUCGAACGGUAACAGGAAGAAAGCUUGCUUUCUUUGCUGACGAGUGGCGGACGGGUGAGUAAUGCUUGGGAAUCUGGCUUAUGGAGGGGGAUAACUACGGGAAACUGUAGCUAAUACCGCGUAAUAUCGAGAGAUUAAAGGGUGGGACCGCAAGGCCACCUGCCAUGAGAUGAGCCCAAGUGGGAUUAGGUAGUUGGUGGGGUAAAGGCCUACCAAGCCGACGAUCUCUAGCUGGUCUGAGAGGAUGACCAGCCACACCGGGACUGAGACACGGCCCGGACUCCUACGGGAGGCAGCAGUGGGGAAUAUUGCGCAAUGGGGGCAACCCUGACGCAGCCAUGCCGCGUGAAUGAAGAAGGCCUUCGGGUUGUAAAGUUCUUUCGGUGACGAGGAAGGCGUGAUGUUUAAUAGGCAUCACGAUUGACGUUAAUCACAGAAGAAGCACCGGCUAACUCCGUGCCAGCAGCCGCGGUAAUACGGAGGGUGCGAGCGUUAAUCGGAAUAACUGGGCGUAAAGGGCACGCAGGCGGCUAUUUAAGUGAGGUGUGAAAUCCCCGGGCUUAACCUGGGAAUUGCAUUUCAGACUGGGUAGCUAGAGUACUUUAGGGAGGGGUAGAAUUCCACGUGUAGCGGUGAAAUGCGUAGAGAUGUGGAGGAAUACCGAAGGCGAAGGCAGCCCCUUGGGAAUGUACUGACGCUCAUGUGCGAAAGCGUGGGGAGCAAACAGG
This 761-nucleotide ribosomal RNA is filed under the name Aggregatibacter segnis. Its description in RNAcentral is "bacterial SSU rRNA". It matches the Rfam family "Bacterial small subunit ribosomal RNA", at positions 28 to 776 of the family's 1533-position model. Lineage: Bacteria; Pseudomonadati; Pseudomonadota; Gammaproteobacteria; Pasteurellales; Pasteurellaceae. The record is from RNAcentral.